UCGAAGGUAGCAUAAUCAGUAGUUUUUUAAUUGAAAACUUGUAUGAAUGGUUCCAUGAGAUAUUUUCUGUUUCAUAAAAAUUUUAGUAUAAAUUAAUUUUUUAGUUAAAAAGCUAAAAUAUGAUUAAAAGACGAGAAGACCCUAUAGAGUUUUAUAUAAUUUAAUUUAUAAUUUAUUUAUAAUAUUUAAAAUUUUAAAUUAAUUUAUAUUUUGUUGGGGUGACAGUAAAAUUUAAUUAUCUUUUAUUUUUUAUUAACAAUGAUUUUUGAUUUAUUGAUCCAGUUUUAUUGAUUAAAAGAUUAAAUUACCUUAGGGAUAACAGCGUAAUUUUUUUAGAGAGUUCUUAUCGAUAAAAAUUUUUGCGACCUCGAUGUUGGAUUAA
RNAcentral lists this ribosomal RNA (382 nucleotides) under Syndocosia pan. RNAcentral describes it as "partial 16S ribosomal RNA". The record is from RNAcentral. Lineage: Eukaryota; Metazoa; Arthropoda; Insecta; Diptera; Mycetophilidae.